This 301-nucleotide ribosomal RNA is filed under the name uncultured bacterium. RNAcentral describes it as "partial 16S ribosomal RNA". It matches the Rfam family "Bacterial small subunit ribosomal RNA", at positions 509 to 808 of the family's 1533-position model. The record is from RNAcentral.
CAGCAGCCACGGUAAUACGUAGGUGGCAAGCGUUGUCCGGAAUUAUUGGGCGUAAAGGGCUCGCAGGCGGUUUCUUAAGUCUGAAGUUAAAGGCAUUGGCUCAACCAAUGUAUGCUUUGGAAACUGUUAGACUUGAGUGCAGAAGGGGAGAGUGGAAUUCCAUGUGUAGCGGUGAAAUGCGUAGAUAUAUGGAGGAACACCGGUGGCGAAAGCGGCUCUCUGGUCUGUCACUGACGCUGAGGCUCGAAAGCGUGGGUAGCGAACAGGAUUAGAUACCCCAGUAGUCCCUGUCUCUUAUACA